RNAcentral lists this ribosomal RNA (478 nucleotides) under uncultured bacterium. Its description in RNAcentral is "partial 16S ribosomal RNA". It matches the Rfam family "Bacterial small subunit ribosomal RNA", at positions 28 to 523 of the family's 1533-position model. The record is from RNAcentral.
GGCGAACGCUGGCGGCGUGCUUAACACAUGCAAGCCGAACGGUAAGGCCCUUCGGGGUACACGAGUGGCGAACGGGUGAGUAACACGUGGGUGAUCUGCCCUGCACUUCGGGAUAAGCCUGGGAAACUGGGUCUAAUACCGGAUAGGACUCCGGACUGCAUGGUCUGGGGUGGAAAGCUUUUGCGGUGUGGGAUGGGCCCGCGGCCUAUCAGCUUGUUGGGGGGGUGAUGGCCUACCAAGGCGACGACGGGUAGCCGGCCUGAGAGGGUGACCGGCCAUACUGGGACGGAGAUACGGCCCAGACUCCUACGGGAGGCAGCAGUGGGGAAUAUUGCACAAUGGGCGCAAGCCUGAUGCAGCGACGCCGCGUGAGGGAUGACGGCCUUCGGGUUGUAAACCUCUUUCAGCAUCGACGAAGCGAAAGUGACGGUAGGUGCAGAAGAAGGACCGGCCAACUACGUGCCAGCCGCCGCCGUAA